This 588-nucleotide ribosomal RNA is filed under the name uncultured bacterium. Its description in RNAcentral is "bacterial SSU rRNA". It matches the Rfam family "Bacterial small subunit ribosomal RNA", at positions 338 to 916 of the family's 1533-position model. The record is from RNAcentral.
CCUACGGGAGGCAGCAGUAGGGAAUCUUCCGCAAUGGACGAAAGUCUGACGGAGCAACGCCGCGUGAACGAUGAAGGCCUUCGGGUCGUAAAGUUCUGUUGUCAGGGAAGAACAAGUAUCGGAGUAACUGCCGGUACCUUGACGGUACCUGACCAGAAAGCCACGGCUAACUACGUGCCAGCAGCCGCGGUAAUACGUAGGUGGCAAGCGUUGUCCGGAAUUAUUGGGCGUAAAGCGCGCGCAGGCGGUUCCUUAAGUCUGAUGUGAAAGCCCCCGGCUCAACCGGGGAGGGUCAUUGGAAACUGGGGAACUUGAGUGCAGAAGAGGAGAGCGGAAUUCCACGUGUAGCGGUGAAAUGCGUAGAGAUGUGGAGGAACACCAGUGGCGAAGGCGGCUCUCUGGUCUGUAACUGACGCUGAGGCGCGAAAGCGUGGGGAGCGAACAGGAUUAGAUACCCUGGUAGUCCACGCCGUAAACGAUGAGUGCUAAGUGUUAGAGGGUUUCCGCCCUUUAGUGCUGCAGCUAACGCAUUAAGCACUCCGCCUGGGGAGUACGGCCGCAAGGCUGAAACUCAAAGGGAAUUGACGG